This is a non-coding RNA of Sturnus vulgaris (Common starling), 93 nucleotides long. NCBI's taxonomy places the organism in Eukaryota, Metazoa, Chordata, Aves, Passeriformes, Sturnidae. The record is from RefSeq and is a predicted model, not a curated record.
CUGAUUUAUCUAACAUUCAGAGAUAAGGGGAGAUUGACUUGGAUAACAACCCUGAUACCUACCCCAGGGAUUAGAGAUGCUGAUGGAGAGACC